UGGCUCUUCCGGAGUCCGAGUUGUAAUUUGUAGAAGAUGCUUUGGGUUGUGGGUUCGGCCUAAGUUCCUUGGAACAGGACGUCAUAGAGGGUGAGAAUCCCGUAUGUGGCCGAGGCCCGCGCCUAUGUAAAGCUCUUUCAACGAGUCGAGUUGUUUGGGAAUGCAGCUCAAAAUGGGUGGUAAAUUUCAUCUAAAGCUAAAUAUGGGCCAGAGACCGAUAGCGCACAAGUAGAGUGAUCGAAAGAUGAAAAGCACUUUGGAAAGAGAGUUAAACAGUACGUGAAAUUGUUGAAAGGGAAGCGCUUGCAACCAGACUUGGGCGCUGCCGAUCACCUUGAGUUUUCUCGAGUGCACUCGACAGCGCACAGGCCAGCAUCGGUUCGGGUGGCUGGAUAAAGGCCGUAGGAAUGUGGCUCUCUUCGGGGAGUGUUAUAGCCUACGGUGCCAUGCAGCCCAGCCGGACCGAGGACCGCGCCUUCGGGCUAGGAUGCUGGCGUAAUGGUUGUAAGCGACCCGUCUUGAAACACGGACCAAGGAGUCUAACAUCUAUGCGAGUGUUUGGGUGGUAAACCCAUACGCGGAAUGAAAGUGAACGUAGGUGAGAACCCCUUUGGGGCGCAUCAUCGACCGAUCCUGAUGUCUUCGGAUGGAUUUGAGUAAGAGCAUAGCUGUUGGGACCCGAAAGAUGGUGAACUAUGCCUGAAUAGGGUGAAGCCAGAGGAAACUCUGGUGGAGGCUCGCAGCGGUUCUGACGUGCAAAUCGAUCGU
This 768-nucleotide ribosomal RNA is filed under the name Erysiphe quercicola. Its description in RNAcentral is "LSU rRNA". It matches the Rfam family "Eukaryotic large subunit ribosomal RNA", at positions 123 to 905 of the family's 3401-position model. Lineage: Eukaryota; Fungi; Ascomycota; Leotiomycetes; Helotiales; Erysiphaceae. The record is from RNAcentral.